GGUCCAGACUCCUACGGGAGGCAGCAGUAGGGAAUCUUCCGCAAUGGGCGAAAGCCUGACGGAGCAACGCCGCGUGAGUGAUGAAGGUCUUCGGAUCGUAAAACUCUGUUAUUAGGGAAGAACAUAUGUGUAAGUAACUGUGCACAUCUUGACGGUACCUAAUCAGAAAGCCACGGCUAACUACGUGCCAGCAGCCGCGGUAAUACGUAGGUGGCAAGCGUUAUCCGGAAUUAUUGGGCGUAAAGCGCGCGUAGGCGGUUUUUUAAGUCUGAUGUGAAAGCCCACGGCUCAACCGUGGAGGGUCAUUGGAAACUGGAAAACUUGAGUGCAGAAGAGGAAAGUGGAAUUCCAUGUGUAGCG
Molecule: ribosomal RNA, 360 nt
Filed under: Staphylococcus aureus
Lineage: Bacteria; Bacillati; Bacillota; Bacilli; Caryophanales; Staphylococcaceae
Description: bacterial SSU rRNA
Rfam family: Bacterial small subunit ribosomal RNA
Source: RNAcentral